This 484-nucleotide ribosomal RNA is filed under the name uncultured bacterium. Its description in RNAcentral is "partial 16S ribosomal RNA". It matches the Rfam family "Bacterial small subunit ribosomal RNA", at positions 30 to 507 of the family's 1533-position model. The record is from RNAcentral.
AUUGAACGCUGGCGGCAGGCCUAACACAUGCAAGUCGAGCGGAUGAAGGGAGCUUGCUCCUGGAUUCAGCGGCGGACGGGUGAGUAAUGCCUAGGAAUCUGCCUGGCAGUGGGGGAUAACGUCCGGAAACGUGCGCUAAUACCGCAUACGUCCUGAGGGAGAAAGUGGGGGAUCUUCGGACCUCACGCUAUCAGAUGAGCCUAGGUCGGAUUAGCUAGUUGGUGGGGUAAAGGCCUACCAAGGCGACGAUCCGUAACUGGUCUGAGAGGAUGAUCAGUCACACUGGAACUGAGACACGGUCCAGACUCCUACGGGAGGCAGCAGUGGGGAAUAUUGGACAUUGGGCGAAAGCCUGAUCCAGCCAAGCCGCGUGUGUGAAGAAGGUCUUCGGAUUGUAAAGCACUUUUAGUUGGGAGGAAGGGCAGUAAGAUAAUACCUUGCUGUUUUGACGUUACCAACAGAAUAAGCACCGGCUAACUUCGUG